GAUGAACGCUGGCGGCGUGCCUAACACAUGCAAGUCGAGCGAACCCUUCGGGGUGAGCGGCGGACGGGUGAGUAACGCGUGGGUAACCUGCCCUGUACACACGGAUAACAUACCGAAAGGUAUGCUAAUACGAGAUAAUAUAUUUUAAUCGCAUGGUUAAGAUAUCAAAGCUCCGGCGGUACAGGAUGGACCCGCGUCUGAUUAGCUAGUUGGUGAGGUAAUGGCUCACCAAGGCGACGAUCAGUAGCCGACCUGAGAGGGUGAUCGGCCACACUGGAACUGAGACACGGUCCAGACUCCUACGGGAGGCAGCAGUGGGGAAUAUUGCACAAUGGGCGCAAGCCUGAUGCAGCGAUGCCGCGUGAGGGAAGGAGGUUUUAGGAUUGUAAACCUCUGUCUUCAGGGACGAUAAUGACGGUACCUGAGGAGGAAGCUCCGGCUAACUACGUG
Molecule: ribosomal RNA, 450 nt
Filed under: uncultured bacterium
Lineage: Bacteria
Description: bacterial SSU rRNA
Rfam family: Bacterial small subunit ribosomal RNA
Source: RNAcentral